RNAcentral lists this ribosomal RNA (393 nucleotides) under Bacillus cereus. RNAcentral describes it as "bacterial SSU rRNA". It matches the Rfam family "Bacterial small subunit ribosomal RNA", at positions 555 to 947 of the family's 1533-position model. The record is from RNAcentral. Lineage: Bacteria; Bacillati; Bacillota; Bacilli; Caryophanales; Bacillaceae.
UGGGCGUAAGCGCGCGCAGGUGGUUUCUUAAGUCUGAUGUGAAAGCCCACGGCCCUAAAGGGGAGGGUCAUUGGAAACUGGGAGACUUGAGUGCCCUUAAAGGGAGUGGAAUUCCAUGUGUAGCGGUGAAAUGCGUAGAGAUAUGGAGGAACACCAGUGGCGAAGGCGACUUCCUGGAGGGUAACUGACACUGAGGCGCGAAAGCGUGGGGAGCAAACAGGAUUAGAUACCCUGGUAGUCCACGCCGUAAACGAUGAGUGCUAAGUGUUAGAGGGUUUCCGCCCUUUAGUGCUGAAGUUAACGCAUUAAGCACUCCGCCUGGGGUGUUCGGCCGCAAGGCUGAAACUCAAAGGAAUUGACGGGGGCCCGCACCAGCGGUGGAGCAUGUGGUUU